AUUGAACGCUGGCGGCAGGCCUAACACAUGCAAGUCGAACGGUAACAGGAAACAGCUUGCUGUUUCGCUGACGAGUGGCGGACGGGUGAGUAAUGUCUGGGAAACUGCCUGAUGGAGGGGGAUAACUACUGGAAACGGUAGCUAAUACCGCAUAACGUCGCAAGACCAAAGAGGGGGACCCUCGGGCCUCUUGCCAUCGGAUGUGCCCAGAUGGGAUUAGCUUGUUGGUGGGGUAACGGCUCACCAAGGCGACGAUCCCUAGCUGGUCUGAGAGGAUGACCAGCAACACUGGAACUGAGACACGGUCCAGACUCCUACGGGAGGCAGCAGUGGGGAAUAUUGCACAAUGGGCGCAAGCCUGAUGAAGCCAUGCCGCGUGUAUGAAGAAGGCCUUCGGGUUGUAAAGUACUUUCAGCGGGGAGGAAGGGAGUAAAGUUAAUACCUUUGCUCAUUGACGUUACCCGCAGAAGAAGCACCGGCUAACUCCGUG
Molecule: ribosomal RNA, 490 nt
Filed under: uncultured bacterium
Lineage: Bacteria
Description: partial 16S ribosomal RNA
Rfam family: Bacterial small subunit ribosomal RNA
Source: RNAcentral